This 465-nucleotide ribosomal RNA is filed under the name uncultured bacterium. RNAcentral's name for it is "bacterial SSU rRNA". It matches the Rfam family "Bacterial small subunit ribosomal RNA", at positions 330 to 793 of the family's 1533-position model. The record is from RNAcentral.
UCCAGACUCCUACGGGAGGCAGCAGUGAGGAAUAUUGGUCAAUGGGCGCGAGCCUGAACCAGCCAAGUCGCGUGAGGGAUGACGGUCCUACGGAUUGUAAACCUCUUUUGCCGGGGAGCAAAAAGCGGUACGUGUACCGCAUCGAGAGUACCCGGAGAAAAAGCAUCGGCUAACUCCGUGCCAGCAGCCGCGGUAAUACGGAGGAUGCGAGCGUUAUCCGGAUUUAUUGGGUUUAAAGGGUGCGCAGGCGGAGUGUUAAGUCAGCGGUAAAAUUGCGGGGCUCAACCCCGCCGAGCCGUUGAAACUGUGUCCCUUGAGUGCGCGAAGGGUAGGCGGAAUGCGUGGUGUAGCGGUGAAAUGCAUAGAUAUCACGCAGAACUCCGAUCGCGAAGGCAGCCUACCGGCGCGCAACUGACGCUCAUGCACGAAAGCGUGGGUAUCGAACAGGAUUAGAUACCCCUGUAC